AACAGGGGAGCCGAGAGGCUGAGAGGAAGCAUUGCUUCGACCCUUAAACCUGAUGUGGGUAAUGCCACCGUAGGAAGGAUC
This 81-nucleotide non-coding RNA is filed under the name uncultured Dysosmobacter sp. RNAcentral describes it as "TPP riboswitch (THI element)". It matches the Rfam family "TPP riboswitch aptamer (THI element)", at positions 10 to 89 of the family's 105-position model. Rfam says of the family: Vitamin B(1) in its active form thiamin pyrophosphate (TPP) is an essential coenzyme that is synthesised by coupling of pyrimidine and thiazole moieties in bacteria. Lineage: Bacteria; Bacillati; Bacillota; Clostridia; Eubacteriales; Oscillospiraceae. The record is from RNAcentral.